This 509-nucleotide ribosomal RNA is filed under the name uncultured bacterium. RNAcentral's name for it is "bacterial SSU rRNA". It matches the Rfam family "Bacterial small subunit ribosomal RNA", at positions 28 to 533 of the family's 1533-position model. The record is from RNAcentral.
GAUGAACGCUGGCGGCGUGCCUAACACAUGCAAGUCGAGCGGAGUUUAACUGAAAGGUCUUAGGACCGGAAGGAUAAACUUAGCGGCGGACGGGUGAGUAACACGUGAGCAACCUGCCUUUAGCUGGGGAAUAACACUGGGAAACCAGUGCUAAUACCGCAUAACAUCCAAGUGUGGCAUCACAUUUGGAUCAAAGGAGAAAUCCGGCAAAAGAUGGGCUCGCGUCCGAUUAGAUAGUUGGUAGGGUAAAGGCCUACCAAGUCAACGAUCGGUAGCCGGACUGAGAGGUUGACCGGCCACAUUGGGACUGAGACACGGCCCAGACUCCUACGGGAGGCAGCAGUGGGGAAUAUUGGGCAAUGGGGGAAACCCUGACCCAGCAACGCCGCGUGAAGGAAGAAGGUCUUCGGAUUGUAAACUUCUUUGAUCAGGGACGAAGAAAUGACUGUACCUGAAGAACAAGUCACCGGCUAACUACGUGCCAGCAGCCGCGGUUAAAACGUCUACUG